Molecule: ribosomal RNA, 253 nt
Filed under: uncultured bacterium
Lineage: Bacteria
Description: partial 16S ribosomal RNA
Rfam family: Bacterial small subunit ribosomal RNA
Source: RNAcentral
UACAGAGGGGGCAAGCGUUGUUCGGAAUUACUGGGCGUAAAGGGCGCGUAGGUGGCCUUCUAAGUUGAACGUGAAAUCCCUGGGCUCAACCCAGGAACUGCGUCCAAGACUGGGAGGCUUGAAUCCGGGAGAGGGAUGCGGAAUUCCAGGUGUAGCGGUGAAAUUCGUAGAUAUUCGCAGGAACACCGGUGGGGAAGGCGGGUCUCUGGGCCGAUACUGACGCUGAGGAGCGAAAGCGUGGGGAGCGAACAGG